Molecule: long non-coding RNA, 331 nt
Filed under: Androctonus crassicauda
Lineage: Eukaryota; Metazoa; Arthropoda; Arachnida; Scorpiones; Buthidae
Source: RNAcentral
AAAUGAAAAAUAUUAAUUUCUAUUUCUGUCUUUAUCCAUUGUGCUUGGAUAAUGUUGAUAUCUCCCCAUUAAUCUUGACAUUAACAGAUUUUGUAUAUACCCAUUAUAUAACAUAUAUAUUGUUAUAUAAAGGUGGGUACAGAUUGGCCAAACCACACCUGUAUUGUAACGGUGCAAUACAAGUUCGUGGAAAUAACAACACUACGAACCUGUCACGCAUCUCCAGCGAACCGCAAUAAGAGCGAUCUAGUGGCAAACACGUAGUGUAAUUAUCGGUGUUUAUACAUAUAAAGUAUUUACCCUAAAUUUAAUAAAACGAUACCAAAAGUUU